This is a long non-coding RNA of Humulus lupulus (European hop), 1016 nucleotides long. RefSeq lists it as uncharacterized. NCBI's taxonomy places the organism in Eukaryota, Viridiplantae, Streptophyta, Magnoliopsida, Rosales, Cannabaceae. The transcript has 3 exons. The record is from RefSeq and is a predicted model, not a curated record.
CUCAAUCUCUCAUCUGUCUCCUCCCUCACUCACGACCUCUUCCCCAUUUUCAACUCCCUCUUACCAGAUCUCUCCUAUUUUUGGACUCUCUCUCAACAACUCUCUCCCAUUUUUGGACCUCUCUCCAUGGUUUACUGGAAUUUUCAGACCUCUUUCCAUGGUCAUCAACGCUUGCUUCAAUCCUUGAGUCGUUACCAUUUUUCUUCGAAUCUCUGAGCCGCCACCAUCGUCCUUCGAACCCGUGAGCCGCCACCGUCGUUGUUCACUUCUCUAAGCCACUGUCAUUGUUGUUGAGUUCUCUGAGCUGCCUCCAUCGUUGUUGAGUUCUCUGAGCCGCCUCUAUCGUUGUUGAGUUCUCUACGUCGCCACCAUAGUUGGUUUGAUUUUGGUUUCAUUAGAGGCUUUGAUUAUUUCGAAUUGGGUGGAUUGGCUUGGCUUUGAGAUUUUUUUGGUGGCUUUUAUGUUGGAUUGGUGGCUGUAAAUUUUUUGGUUGUUGGGUUUUUGGUGGCUCUGAUUUUCGAACAAAUUGGCUUGGUGGCUUUGAGGAUAAAAUGAUGGCGUUAAGAGCUCAACACACUCCAGAAGAAAUGUCUGAUAAAGACAUUAUGGAGCGUAUUCUUGGACGCUCUUUUGCACACUUGAAAGGUUGGGGUCGAUCUUUUUCAAGUACAACUUCUACUUCCCAACGCAAUCCAACUGAGUCAAAUAAGCCAACAUAUGAUGAGCUAGCCCAACGCCUUGAUGAAGCAAACAAUCGACUUGAUUCUACAAAUGACCAACUAAGUAUUGUUGUGGAAAUACUAAGGAAACAAUAUGAUGCCACCGCCUCCGUCAUAUCAAUGUUUUAAUGCAAAUGUCAGAAAUUCUCCCGUCCCUUCAAUUCUAGCGGAACAAGAUGAUUCGUAGUUUUUUUUUUAUGUUUUUAAUUCAAAACUUUAAAGAUAAAUUAUUAUGGACAUUUUAUCUUUUAUGUUUGUUUGUUUGAACAUUUUAUAAUAUAUGUUUAUUUUAUUUUA